AGGGUUUGAUUCUGGCUCAGGACGAACGCUGGCGGUGCGCCUUAUGCAUGCAAGUCGAGCGAAGCUUUUCAGUAGUUUACUACAGAAAAUGACUGAGCGGCGAACGGGUGAGUAACGCGUGAGCAAUCUACCUUAGUUACAGGGAUAGCCCGAGGAAACUCGGAUUAAUACCUGAUAUUCUUUAUUUCUCGCAUGAGAAUAAAAGGAAAGGUCAGCCGAACUAAGAUGAGCUCGCGUUCUAUCAGCUUGUUGGUGAGGUAAAAGCUUACCAAGGCUACGACGGAUAGCUGGUCUGAGAGGACGAUCAGCCACACUGGGACUGAGACACGGCCCAGACUCCUACGGGAGGCUGCAGCAGGGAAUAUUGUGCAAUGAACGAAAGUUUGACACAGCGACACCGCGUGUGGGAUGACGGAUCUAGGUUUGUAAACCACUUUCAGGAGGGAAGAAAAUGACGGUACCUCCACAAGAAGCCCCGGCCAACUACGUGCCAGCCGCCGCGGUAAUAC
Molecule: ribosomal RNA, 509 nt
Filed under: uncultured bacterium
Lineage: Bacteria
Description: bacterial SSU rRNA
Rfam family: Bacterial small subunit ribosomal RNA
Source: RNAcentral